RNAcentral lists this long non-coding RNA (889 nucleotides) under Carica papaya (papaya). RNAcentral's name for it is "long non-coding RNA (CPAP_LNC003853)". Lineage: Eukaryota; Viridiplantae; Streptophyta; Magnoliopsida; Brassicales; Caricaceae. The record is from RNAcentral.
GAAGGGGAUGCCUAGAGACUCUGUAGUCAUACUCAUAGUUUUAUUUUCGAGUUUCUCUUUUAGUUAGUUUAAUCCUUUAUAUUUUAAGUACGUUUUUGGUUUUCGUGUAAGGGAUGUUAACUGAAAUUUUGAUCUCGCUUCCGCAUUUUAUGUGUUUAAAUACUCAUUUCAUUUUCACAUUUCCGGGGUCGUUACAGUUGGUAUCAGAGCCGCGUUUCCUCGGACCCAUCCCUUACACAAUAGUGCCUUAGAGUAAUACUCACCACUAUAUCGUUACUCAAUCAUUUCUUGUGAAUGUAAGUACACGAGAAUGAGGAGAGGAAAGCCCCCACUAAACCGAACGGCCCAAGAUAAUUCGCUUCGGGAGGAUUUAGACAUACUAUUUGAGAUGGUGGAGGCUCUCGUAGCUGCCUAGCAAAGGCAAGAGGAGAGAAGGGAGUUACCCGGACCUCCUCCGCUAGCGCAGGUUGAGCCCCCGCUACAGCAGGCUGAUCCCGAGCCACCCCGGCAGGAGCCUGUUCCUCCACAGUACCACCCGGUACCACAGCCGCAGUACCACCCGGCACCACAGCCGCGGUACGACCCAGUACCACAGCCAUAGUACCAACAGGUGCCGCCACAGCACAUUCCAGUGCCCCCACCACAUCAGCAGGUGCCACCACAGGGUCCCCCAGUUCACCCUCAGCCGGCCCCAGUCCCUCUACCUCGGGACCCCGCUCCUUCCUUGACCGACCCUGCUACCGCCUCAACAACACCUGUCGCAUAUGCGGCAGUGCCCAGCACUUUGCAAGGGAAUGCCCCAGGAACCAGAAUCAGAGAAUGCCUCCAAUCCAGGGCAGAGUUUACAACCUUACGCAGAAGGAUGCCGACGCAGACCCGGACGUGGUAC